CAGCAGCCACGGUAAUACGAAGGGUGCAAGCGUUACUCGGAAUUACUGGGCGUAAAGCGUGCGUAGGUGGUGGUUUAAGUCCGUUGUGAAAGCCCUGGGCUCAACCUGGGAAUUGCAGUGGAUACUGGGUCACUAGAGUGUGGUAGAGGAUAGUGGAAUUUCCGGUGUAGCAGUGAAAUGCGUAGAGAUCGGAAGGAACAUCUGUGGCGAAGGCGACUAUCUGGGCCAACACUGACACUGAGGCACGAAAGCUAGGGGAGCAAACAGGAUUAGAUACCCCUGUAGUCCCUGUCUCUUAUAA
This 301-nucleotide ribosomal RNA is filed under the name uncultured bacterium. RNAcentral describes it as "partial 16S ribosomal RNA". It matches the Rfam family "Bacterial small subunit ribosomal RNA", at positions 509 to 809 of the family's 1533-position model. The record is from RNAcentral.